Molecule: long non-coding RNA, 375 nt
Organism: Frankliniella occidentalis (western flower thrips)
Lineage: Eukaryota; Metazoa; Arthropoda; Insecta; Thysanoptera; Thripidae
Exons: 2
Source: RefSeq, a predicted model, not a curated record
AUGCCGUAAUUAUUGCUCUCCCCCUUUGCCGUGCCGCGUCCCCUAUCCCUCUCCUCCUCCCCAUCCCCACCGCGCAUUUCCCGCGCCUUUAUGGAAACGUAAACAAACAGUGAGAAAGGAAAAUCGGUCACGAUCGGCGUUUCUGCCAAAUACCGAUAAUACCUACUCAUAUGAUUAUUGAUCAGAGGAUUUUAACCAGAAUUUUAGAGUGGACAUCACCGCUUUUCGUUAUUAAUCGCAAGGAACCCGGCCCAGAAAUGUUCUUGACAUGAGCAAGAGAAGUCUAUGGAGUCAUUUUACCCAAAAGAAUAGGUGAGUUGACAUGACAGUAACGGCAACGGCCAACGCUGGUCCAAUUUGUCUCUGUACAGACAC